UACGUAGGAUGCGAGCGUUGUUCGGAAUCACUGGGCGUAAAGCGUACGUAGGCGGUAAAUUGUGUCUGCUAUUAAAGACCGGGGCUCAACUCCGGGAAUGUAGCAGAAACUGAUUUGCUAGAGGUUAGUAGAGGGAAUCGGAAUUCUCAGUGUAGCGGUGAAAUGCGUAGAUAUUGGGAAGAACACCAGUUGCGAAAGCGGAUUUCUGGGCUAAUACUGACGCUGAGGUACGAAAGCGUGGGGAGCAAACGGG
RNAcentral lists this ribosomal RNA (253 nucleotides) under uncultured bacterium. RNAcentral's name for it is "partial 16S ribosomal RNA". It matches the Rfam family "Bacterial small subunit ribosomal RNA", at positions 524 to 776 of the family's 1533-position model. The record is from RNAcentral.